CUAGACGCCUUCUAAUAAAAUUUUAUUUUCCUAUUAACAAAAAAGUCACAGCUACAACCAAAAUCUCUAGCAACCAAUUCUCUAAUGAAUGACCUAUCGAAUUCUAUGUAAUUUAUUUCAUAAAGUCAUAUUGGUUCUAACAUGUUCAAUCACCCUAACAAUCCAACCUGUAGUUAGGAACUAGAUAGGAGAAAAAAAAUAUUUCACAUAUAAAAUGUGCAGCACCUUUUAUCAACUAUUUCACACAUAAAAAUAUUUCAUACAUACAUACAAAAAUUACCUAAUCAAUAUAGCAAAAAAAGACUAUAAGUGUGUGAAAGCACCUUUUAUCAACUCAUUUUUUAUACAAGAGGGAAGAAAAAUGGAAGGUAACCAAAGGAGACCCACAAAAAACAAAUAAAUAAAGAAAUACAUUUAAUGGGGAACCUCAAAAAGACUUGAAAUCCUUCCAAACUUGGGUCCAAAAAAAUAUUUUCCAUGUAAAGAAAGAUAUGGAACAAAAUAAAAU
Molecule: long non-coding RNA, 508 nt
Filed under: Vitis vinifera (wine grape)
Lineage: Eukaryota; Viridiplantae; Streptophyta; Magnoliopsida; Vitales; Vitaceae
Description: long non-coding RNA (VVIN_LNC006865)
Source: RNAcentral